GAUGUGAAAUCCUACAGCUCAACUGUAGAACUGCAUUGAAAACUACCAACCUAGAGUAUGGGAGGGGGAGAUGGAAUUAGUGGUGUAGGGGUAAAAUCCGUAGAUAUCACUAGGAAUACCUAAAGCGAAGGCGAUCUCCUGGAACAUUACUGACGCUAAGGCGUGAAAGCGUGGGGAGCAAACGGGAUUAGAUACCCCGGUAGUCCACGCCCUAAACGAUGAACACUAGUCGUCGGGAAGCUUGUCUUCUCGGUGAUGCACUUAACAGAUUAAGUGUUCCGCCUGGGGAGUACGGUCGCAAGAUUAAAACUCAAAGGAAUAGACGGGGACCCGCACAAGUGGUGGAGCAUGUGGUUUAAUUCGACGAUACGCGAAGAACCUUACCUGGCCUUGACAUUGAUUGAAUCCACCAGAGAUGGAGGAGUGCCUUUCGGGGAACAUGAAAACAGGUGCUGCACGGCUGUCGUCAGCUCGUGUCGUGAGAUGUUGGGUUAAGUCCCGCAACGAGCGCAACCCUCGUCCUUAGUUGCCAGCAGGUUAAGCUGGGCACUCUAAGGAGACUGCCUUCGUAAGGAGGAGGAAGGUGAGGACGACGUCAAGUCAUCAUGGCCCUUACGGCCAGGGCUACACACGUGCAACAAUGGGGCGUACAGAGAGUUGCGAUACCGCGAGGUGGAGCCAAUCUCAUAAAGCGUCUCUCAGUUCGGAUUGGAGUCUGCAACUCGACUCCAUGAAGCUGGAAUCACUAGUAAUCGUAGAUCAGCAAUGCUACGGUGAAUACGUUCCCGGGUCUU
RNAcentral lists this ribosomal RNA (794 nucleotides) under uncultured organism. RNAcentral describes it as "bacterial SSU rRNA". It matches the Rfam family "Bacterial small subunit ribosomal RNA", at positions 591 to 1382 of the family's 1533-position model. The record is from RNAcentral.